RNAcentral lists this long non-coding RNA (4447 nucleotides) under Ficedula albicollis (Collared flycatcher). RNAcentral's name for it is "lncRNA (ENSFALG00000024939.1)". The record is from RNAcentral. Lineage: Eukaryota; Metazoa; Chordata; Aves; Passeriformes; Muscicapidae.
UUCCCCUAAAUCCUAUAGUCAGUCUACUUUUUUAUGGCCGAAGGCUCAAGGUCUCUUUCAUGCAGCUUUUUCUCUGUAGUUUGUCAUAUUUUCCUUCUAGCUAUUUCUUAUAUUAUGGAGGCUUGGGUACUUAAUUUGCCAUCUCUUAAUGCAACUAACUUCAUCUCAUAUGCAGUUGGGUCAGAUAAAUAGCCCUGUAUACACAACUCUGUUUGCCAAAUCUCUGCUGUAAAGACUGGCAUACAAAGAAAAUACAGAGAGUUUCUUUCUAUAAAGAAAAGCAACUAAACAAGCUGAAUUGAUACUCAGAACAUGUAAAUGAACUCAGAAAGUAAAGCUAACUGAAUGCCUGUAAGGAUGGAGACUGCUGCACUUUGAUUAUACUAAAACACAGAAUAUUUACAAGAGUCAUUGCAGAGGAAGGUGUUGCAACUCUAUAAACUUCAGGAUCUAAAAUCUUACAUCAGUCAGAAUGCUUUGCUAUGAUUUUACUAAACAAUGUAGCACACCUAUCCAUUACUGCAUUUGAGUAUGAUAGUCAGUCCUCUAAAACCUGGUAGAACAAGUAUUAUAUUAUAGAACAGAAUCACCAUGGUUGAGUAAUCUAAAGGCAGCGACAGUGAUGGUCACCAAGUUAAUUUUUGGGAUUCUGCUUUAAUCCUAUGCCAAAGUUAUUGCUAAGCAUCUCACAAACAAGCCAGUUCACAGUAUAAUAUUCUCAGCAAUUAAUGAGUUAGCACCUGUAUCAUUACAAGAGCUCAAAUACUUCCUUUUUCUUUGCAACUGUGCCAACUAUAAGAUGAAAAAUGUCGUUAAAGCCUGUCAGCAUCUUACUGAGGGGGCAAUCCACAGUGAGAACCAAAGAAAAUUAAGGUAUUCAAGGUUUAUUCAGGUAUUACAAUAAAUGGUGGUAACCAAUAUGCACAAUCAUGUUACAGGAAAAUUUUUCAAAAUCUCUAUGCCAAUUUCCAUCUUACUGUUUUCAGAUACAGGAAAAGGCUUGAAACCCCAAGUAAUCAGAAAGAAGAACAUGGACUGGAAUCUAAUCAUGUUGUCAUCAAGUCUUCUGCUUCCUGUCAGAAAUACAAGAGUUCCAGAUGUGCAAGGGUCUGCUUCAAAUGAUUUGCCAUGUUAAAAAGAAGAAGAAAGUGCUACUAAACUGCCCCUACGAAUGGAAUUUUUUUUUUUUGUUCAUGAAUCAGAAAUAAAACAAGUAUUAAAAGAGGAGAAACGAAAUUUCGAAUAGCACAUACUCUGAUGAAAAAAAAAGUUCAGAGAAUGCAAGAUAUGGCCAACCUUAAAAAAGAAACAGCAAUGAGAAUUUUUUUUUAAAAAGUGGAUAGAUUUCAUAUUAGUCACAAUAGAAACCUGAAAAAAAAUUCAUAGUCUAAGUGCAUCUCAGAUUUUGUAUUUAGCUAUGGAAACUGAGCAAUUGCUGGAAUAGCACCCUUUACUUGCUUCAGAGUAACAGAGGAAGGACAGAAACAGAGAAUUAAAUGCAUUUCACUUCCCUGAUUCUGAGUUUGGGUUACAUGCUGCAUAAUUUUAUUUUGGCCCAAAAAAUAUAUUAAUAUCUGGAGACAUAUAUCUAUUGUCAGCAAACUAGGUUAUCACUAGUUUUUAGAUAACAAGUAUUUUCACUGCAUGAAGUAUGCUGAGACUUUAUUUAAAACUUGUUCUCUUUUCCAUUCUAUUAUCCUGGUCUGUGACAGCUCUCUACUAAAAGUCCCUUUUCAUAGGUUUCCUCUUGAUAACACCUACAUGCCAGGGAGAUUUGGAUAGCCAGGUGGAUUCACUGACACUUGCUAUUAAAACAGCCUAUACCAACUGAAGCUUUUGGUAAUUAUUUCAAUAUUUGCUACAUUAUUGUUAUGGUAGCAACUAAGAACACAUUCAAUCACUGCACUGUUUGACAAAUACAGCAUUUUAAAUUGAAUGUUGCUUUUCUUUAACAAGAUGUCAUAAAAUAUGCAUACAUUGCCUCUAUUAACAGUAUUAUUGUAGCACAUCUCUCCUGGUUCUCCCUUUCAUGUUCUAAAUUCUUGCUUGAUAUUACUGAGAAACAUCAAUACUUCUGCAAAGGCUGAUUAGCAUGCAGUGAGUUGAUAGACAUUUUGGAAGGCAGAACUAACAAAUUUCCAGCAUACUACUAGAUUAUGCAUUUCUCUCAGUGCAUGCAAAAAGAGAUCGUUGUUCACGUACCUCUGAUACUUCUGUUGAUGCUUUUGUCAACAUCUGUUCACAGAAGUGGCUAUUGGCAUGCACUUAUCUGAGAAUCACUAUGCAAAUAUAUGCAACUGCAGUGAAAGAAGUCCCUAGAAGAUUUGAACAAACCCAUUUUAUCAGAAUAAAAAUGUUGAGGUGACUGACAGGUCCAUUGUCACAGACCUUACAGAAGCUGGCUGCCUGCUUUUUCCACUGUUAAAGCAGAAUAUUAUUUGAGUACAAGAAGCAUUACUGUGAACAUAGCAAUUCCCAAUUCUGGUAACAUUUUGCUUGAUCCUGUUUCAUUGUAGAGCAGUGAUGUACGUACUCAAGGGAAUCCAGCUUGGACAAUGAAGGUGAUACAAAUUUAUAGUGAUAGUGCCAUUCAUCAGAGAGGACAGGCCUACUAUUAGGCAGUGUUUGGGACACCAAAGAGGAAUCCUAAAACAACACCCUUAAUUAAAAUCAACUCUCCAUUUAUACUCAUGGAGAUAUACAAAAGACAAAUUGGUGUGAUCUAAUUGAUGCUUUCUUGGCUACUUAUUGAGGGUGAUGGUUCAGGUGUUUGUGAUGAAGGCCCAACCAGGACAGCUGAUGAAAUGCAGUAGUCUCCAGUGUCUGAUCAGUCUGAGCUAGACUGCUUAGAACAAGAGGCAUUGCCAAAAGUGUUGGCUGCAACAAUGACCUCAGUUGUUACCCCCCCUUCCUGCAGCUGUUCCAAGAGCCACACAUUAGCACAUGAGUUUGAGGCUGGAGUGAAGGCUUUAUUUGGUGUUCUAUAUCAUCACUUGACACUGGAGGAGAAAACACUGGUGUUCUAUAUUCUACAGUUGUCUACCUCCAAGGUUCUGGUAGCUCAUACAGGUGCACAGGCAAAAGGGUGACAGAUGCAUGGUUUUUACAUCUUCCUUCCUCUUAACAGUGCAUGCAACAUAAAGCACAGUUUUCCCCAGCACUUCAUCUUUACCAUGGUUGCAGAAGACAAAGCAAAGAGGGAAGUAGUAUUGUUUACUUUGAGAUAAGGAGGGACAUGUACUGAGUCCAGAAACACAGAGAAUUCUAUGUCUUAAAAUGCUGUAUGACUAUUGCAGACCAAAGAGUGAGCAAUUCCUUAAUCCACACUUCUGCUCUAUCUUUAAAAAUGUGAAGGGCUGCUACUGUGGAUCCUAGUUUGCAGUUCCAACAUUAAAACAACUUGUUUAGAGAUCCUGCUUGAUAAUGAGUCAGCUGCUUCUACACUGCUUAUUGUACAUACAAGCAUAAGUAAUCUUGCCUUCCCAUCACACACUGUCAAACAACAGGGGGCUAAAACAGUAGAUUAAGACACAGGCUUAAGCAAAGGCAGCCCCCCACUUUAAAAAGCAGAUUAAGCAUGCGACAGAUGCUUUGUGAUAAUUUAUGAAUAGUGUACGUUGACCUGAUUUUUGUAAUGUUGAUUGUAUGAUUAUGUUGGCUUGAUUUAAUUAGAAGGCACAGACAAAGCCUGAAAUACUUGAUAAACACAAGCUACCCACUGAUAAACAACCUCAGGUCAGUUUGCUAUAAAACCUGAAUUCUCAGCUGUGGAGAGCCUAUUUCUGGGCUCCAGGCAAGCUGCUGGAACAUCUUUGGUCAGUUUGAAUGCUGAGGUUAAAACAACUCCAGUUACUAUGCAAAGGAUCCCUAAGCAAUAUUGGAUAUUUGCUGUAAAGUCAAGUGGGUUGUCACAGAGGGUUGAAAGGAACUUAUAAUGUCACCCUGCCCUCUUGACACCGCGGAGAAAAAAAAAUAUUCUGGCAAGGCAAAACACCUAAACUCAAUUUUCCCUACUUGUUUUCCUCUCUACUGAUGAUAUUGUUUGAGGACAUCUGCAAGCUCAGGAUAAAUCUGUAGGUGCCUGCAGUCUGAGGGACUCACGGGGUAUCACAGCCUUUGGCUUGGAAGGUAUGGAAAUACCAAUAUUCUGCAGCAAGUAAAGACACGAGCCCUUGCAUGAAGGGACUGAGCUCAGAGGCACCAGAUGUAGCUAGCUCUAGUUGUUAUAAAUAGCAGCUUAAAGUUUCACGAUUAAAAUAAUCUGCCCCUCACAUAUGGAAACUUUGAAUGCAUUCAUAAACGUGAAAUAAUCAAAAGGAGUUCAGUUCUUCACUGUUGAUCUGGUAUUGCAGAAUAUUUGCCUAUAGGGCAAGACCACAACGGGAAUCCUACACAGGGGCAGGAGGGGGAAGACUCAUGGUUCCAUAGUUCCUAACCACUAGGGAGA